CCUACGGGAUGCUGCAGUGGGGAAUAUUGGACAAUGGGCGAAAGCCUGAUCCAGCCAUGCCGCGUGUGUGAAGAAGGCCUUCGGGUUGUAAAGCACUUUCAGUGGGGAAGAAAGCCUUGGGGCUAAUACCCUCGAGGAAGGACAUCACCCACAGAAGAAGCACCGGCUAACUCCGUGCCAGCAGCCGCGGUAAUACGGAGGGUGCGAGCGUUAAUCGGAAUUACUGGGCGUAAAGCGCGCGUAGGCGGUCUGAUAAGCCGGUUGUGAAAGCCCCGGGCUCAACCUGGGAACGGCAUCCGGAACUGUCAGGCUAGAGUGCAGGAGAGGAAGGUAGAAUUCCCGGUGUAGCGGUGAAAUGCGUAGAGAUCGGGAGGAAUACCAGUGGCGAAGGCGGCCUUCUGGACUGACACUGACGCUGAGGUGCGAAAGCGUGGGUAGCAAACAGGAUUAGAUACCCCCUGUAGUC
This 466-nucleotide ribosomal RNA is filed under the name Vreelandella stevensii. RNAcentral describes it as "partial 16S ribosomal RNA". It matches the Rfam family "Bacterial small subunit ribosomal RNA", at positions 338 to 795 of the family's 1533-position model. Lineage: Bacteria; Pseudomonadati; Pseudomonadota; Gammaproteobacteria; Oceanospirillales; Halomonadaceae. The record is from RNAcentral.